UAACAUAUCCAAGCCUAUGCUG
RNAcentral lists this non-coding RNA (22 nucleotides) under Mus musculus (house mouse). Lineage: Eukaryota; Metazoa; Chordata; Mammalia; Rodentia; Muridae. The record is from RNAcentral.